Molecule: long non-coding RNA, 1051 nt
Filed under: Setaria italica (foxtail millet)
Lineage: Eukaryota; Viridiplantae; Streptophyta; Magnoliopsida; Poales; Poaceae
Description: long non-coding RNA (SITA_LNC002882)
Source: RNAcentral
GCAGUAAAUUUUGUGGGGAUGCGAUGGGAGCACACAUGUGUCAUGCUUUUGCGUUGCCACCUUCUAAUGGGAGAAACUAUCUACAUAUACGUCAGAUGAGUUCCAAUGACUAACAUAAUACAAUUUUUCUUAAGCCAUGCGAAAACCUUGUAACACAACAAUGUUACUUACAUGUUUUUUUUUCCAAACAAAUACAAUGGCGGAUAAUCAUAUCCUAUUACAACUAAGGCAAUGCAAAACACUGUGCUUGACUAGAAGAAAAUCAAAGAACAAACGAUGAACCUAUAGUCCUAUACCAAUAGAGAAUAAAUAAUAAUUCAGCGUCAGAUUAAGUGUAAUUAAUUGUAUUUUUGUGUGCUACACUACAACGGCGUCGUCUCCUCUCUUUGCUGGAGCCUCUGCAUUUUCCACUCGCGAUUGGUGACCACCUUGUUUCAUGGCGCUGUUGGUGCUGGUGGGCAGAGGGUGUUGGGGUCCCAUGUACUACCUUUACACGAGGCUCCCGCCGGCUUCAUCUGUAGAGGCGGCAGCUUGUGCCACACCUUCCAGACCGACGACGGCAGCACGAUGACCGAGCCGGCGGCGCUGGCCGGGGCCUGCUGCUCGACCCGGCGACCGUCGUCGGCCAGCAGCGGCCUCGCGGCGUCGGCCGGAGGACAAGUCCAAGAGCUCGACAGGACCACGAACAGCAGGAGCAAUGGGACAACAACCUUUGAUCUCGUCAUGGAGUUUACUUGGAUAGCACAGUAAUAUAAACUGAUCUCUCGCUCUCAGUUUUUAGCUUAUCCAGCAGCUACUAAACUUUGGCUUGUGUGGGUUGCUAUCCCUGGCAAGAACUAUAUAUAGGCUGUCAAGCUAUACUUGCUGAAUACAUGAUCAGUUGCUGAUCCUUGGCUUAGCUCUCGUGAGCGCUCAUGGCGGGCUGAAGCAAGCUUUGGAAAUUUCUACGCGCAUGCGACCACACACGAUGCAAGAGUUCUUCUUACGUGUGCGACCAGUCAUGCAUCCUCAGAUGGCAAGAGUUGCAUACUUGCAUGCCUCGUGGUCGUCG